This is an RNA transcript of Neofelis nebulosa (Clouded leopard), 2597 nucleotides long. It is a transcript of the gene named coiled-coil domain containing 9, with no coding region annotated. The transcript has 15 exons. The record is from RefSeq and is a predicted model, not a curated record. NCBI's taxonomy places the organism in Eukaryota, Metazoa, Chordata, Mammalia, Carnivora, Felidae.
CUCUUUCGUUCCCCUCUUCACGUGGUGCGGACCGGAAGUGACGCGCGCGGCCCGGGAGCUGCGGGCGCGGAGGCCGACGGAGCCGGAGUCGCCGACGCCGCGGGGUCUCCGGGACAGGAACCCCUGGUGCUGUGUCCGGAUUCUGCAGGGGAAGUUUGCUGGGACCCUGGCCCCACCUGGCCAGUGGAAUGUCAGCCACACUGGAUCUGAAAUCGAAAGAGGAGAAAGAUGCUGAGUUGGACAAGAGGAUCGAAGCUCUUCGGCGAAAGAACGAGGCCCUCAUACGGCGCUACCAGGAGAUCGAGGAGGACCGUAAAAAAGCUGAACUCGAGGGAGUAGCGGUGACCGCGCCCCGGAAGGGCCGCUCGGUGGAGAAGGAGAACGUGGCCGUUGAGGUGGAGAAGAACUUGGGUCCCUCUCGGAGGUCUCCUGGGACCCCGCGGCCUCCGGGGGCCAGCAAGGGAGGCCGGCCCGUCCCCCAGCAGGGAGGCCGGGCAGGCGUGGGCCGGGUGGCUCGUAACUGGGAGGACAGUUCUGGGGAGCAGCCUCGAGGAGGAGCUGGGGGCCGCGGCCGGAGGGGCCGGGGCCGGGGGUCCCCUCAUCUGUCUGGGGCCGGAGAUGCCUCAACUGCCGACCGCAAAUCCAAGGAGUGGGAGGAGCGGCGCCGGCAGAACAUCGAGAAGAUGAACGAGGAGAUGGAGAAGAUUGCGGAGUAUGAGCGCAACCAGCGGGAAGGCGUGCUGGAGCCCAACCCGGUGCGGAACUUCCUGGACGACCCCCGGCGACGCGGUGGGCCCCUGGAGGAGCCUGAGCGGGACCGCCGGGAGGGCAGCCGCCGGCACGGGCGCAACUGGGGGGGACCCGACUUCGAGCGGGUGCGCUGCGGCCUGGAGCAGGAGCGGCAGGGCCGCCGGGCCGGCCUGGCUGGCGCUGGCGACAUGACGCUGUCCAUGACGGGCCGGGAGCGGUCGGAGUACCUGCGCUGGAAGCAGGAGAGGGAGAAGAUCGACCAGGAGCGGCUGCAGAGACACCGCAAGCCCACCGGCCAGUGGCGGCGGGAGUGGGAUGCCGAGAAGACGGAUGGGAUGUUCAAGGAUGGCCCAGCCGCUGCCCUCGAACCAUCCCAUCGCUAUGAUGAUCAGGCCUGGGCUCGGCCCCCCAAGCCCCCCACUUUCAGGGAGUUCCUGUCCCAGCACAAAGCGGAGGUCAGCCGCAGGAGGAGGAAGGGUAGCCGACCCCAGACCAAGGCAGCCCCUCGUGCCUACAGUGACCAUGACGACCGCUGGGAGACGAAGGAGGCAGCGUCCCCAGCCCCUGAGGCCCCACAGCCCCCUCCACCCGAGGAGACGCCCGUGCAGCCGCUGGAGACCCCAGCUCCUCCUGCCCACCGGCCUCCUGAGGAUGACGGGGAGGAGGACGAGGGGGAGGAUGAGGAAUGGGAAGAUGUGAGUGAGGAGGAGGAGGAGAUCGAGGAGGAGGAGGAGGGGGAGGAGGAGGAAGAGGCCAUCGAGGAGGAAGAAGAACCAGCCCAAGACCACCAACCCCAAGAGGCCGCGCCCACCGGAAGCCCCACCGGAGGUGACCAGCCAGCCCCUGCCUCCCUCGAGAGUGGGCCCUGCCUCCCAGGAACCCAGAAAGCUGAAGAGGAAGGGUCUGAGGCAGCUUCAGAGGCGGGCACUGAGGGUCAGGAGACCGCGGAGAUCACCGACUUCCAGAGGGUGCGUUUCUGCAAGGUGGUGGCGGCCGCUCCGCCACCGGGGGCCGCCCGCUGACCGCGCCUGCAGACUGCGGCCUCCGCGUUCUGCACUAACCUCCUGCCGCCUUGCUCCUCUGUCCUCUGCUUCCGUCACGCUCCAGCCAGGAGAGGGUUAAAUGCCUCCCCGAAUUCCUGAAGACGCUGCUGGGAGGGGACUGAAGCUUCCCCGCCUUGAUGGGGAGGGGGCGGCAGGAGGGGGUUAGUCUGGAUUUCCAGGCUGCGCUCUCUCCUCCCCGGAGACUGCUCUGGAUCCCAUGACUUUAGGGAGAGGGAGAAACUGAGGGUGGUGGGGAGGCGUUGGGGAAGGGGCGUGACUGGCUUAUGGGGCAGAGCUGGAGCUUCGGGGCGUUGAAUUUAGAUCUCUGGACGCGAAGUAAGGAUGAGGUGCCGUGAGGGGCGUGGCUAGGGUGCCUGGGCGGGGCCACAACUCGUGGGUGAGGUGAGGUUGGGACAUAGGCGGGCCUUAGAUGUGGUGUGGGGCCGCGACAGCAGGUUUAGAUGCGAGUUCUUAACGCGGUUGUGGGGGGCAGUCCUCGGUGGAGGGCGUGGCCAAUGCGGGGCUAGAACCAAUGGGCUGAGGCGGCGGAAAGUUGCGGAGCCUGGACUAGAGAGUGUGAAUCCAAGGAGAGGAGAGGGUGGCUUCGAGUGCUAGAAUCGAGUGUGAUUCAGAGAAAGGCAAGUUAGAAGCGGGGAGGACUUGCGGCUAAGGUGGGGUGGGGUUUGUGAGGCUUGAACCUCGUAAGGGCUUGGGGCUCGGAGGCUGGGCUUAGAUGCCCGGGAGAAGUCUGUGUCCCGAAAGGGGACGGGGUUGGGGCGCGGGGAGGAGGCCAGAAGGAGGAGG